GCGUAUCCAACCUUCCGUACACUCAGGGAUAGCCUUUCGAAAGAAAGAUUAAUACCUGAUGGUAUCUUAAGCACACAUGUAAUUAAGAUUAAAGAUUCAUCGGUGUACGAUGGGGAUGCGUUCCAUUAGGUAGUAGGCGGGGUAACGGCCCACCUAGCCUACGAUGGAUAGGGGUUCUGAGAGGAAGGUCCCCCACAUUGGAACUGAGACACGGUCCAAACUCCUACGGGAGGCAGCAGUGAGGAAUAUUGGUCAAUGGACGAGAGUCUGAACCAGCCAAGUGGCGUGAAGGAUGAAGGUCCUACGGACUGUAAACUUCUUUUAUAAGGGAAUAAACCCUCCCACGUGUGGGAGCUUGUAUGUACCUUAUGAAUAAGCAUCGGCUAACUCCGUGCCAGCAGCCGCGGUAAUACGGAGGAUGCGAGCGUUAUCCGGAUUUAUUGGGUUUAAAGGGAGCGCAGACGGGUCGUUAAGUCAGCUGUGAAAGUUUGGGGCUCAACCUUAAAAUUGCAGUUGAUACUGGCGUCCUUGAGUGCGGUUGAGGUGUGCGGAAUUCGUGGUGUAGCGGUGAAAUGCUUAGAUAUCACGAAGAACUCCGAUUGCGAAGGCAGCACACUAAGCCGUAACUGACGUUCAUGCUCGAAAGUGUGGGUAUCAAACAGGAUUAGAUACCCUGGUAGUCCACACGGUAAACGAUGGAUACUCGCUGUUGGCGAUAUACUGUCAGCGGCUUAGCGAAAGCGUUAAGUAUCCCACCUGGGGAGUAC
This 767-nucleotide ribosomal RNA is filed under the name uncultured bacterium. RNAcentral's name for it is "bacterial SSU rRNA". It matches the Rfam family "Bacterial small subunit ribosomal RNA", at positions 115 to 883 of the family's 1533-position model. The record is from RNAcentral.